UGAGCGCGCGCGCGCCCUCCCUCGCGCCCCUCACGGCUCUCUCGCUCUCUCUCUCUCUUUCCUGAGGGGGCCUCACCUGAGGAGAAUUUAUGUCGGGAUUUGCCAAAGAGGGAACCCCCCCCCCAACUGUCCUCUCCUCUUCCUCAGGACAGUCACACCAUUCUUAUCAUCAUCCUCAUCAUCAUUGGCUGCCCAACACGUGGGCACAUGUGAAGGCAGCCCAUCACUAUGCCAUUAAAAACCAUCACCUCUGGUUUUUGGACGUACUUCCAAGCCUUCCUUUCCUUUUCUAUGUUAGGCUGACCUUGGAAAGAUAUUUUACUGUCUACAGGAUCACUAUGCUGUACCAUCACUGUCGUGCUACUGAGUAGUAACUUUACUUCAAUUUGUUCAUACUCACAAAAGUGAGCUACCUUACUUUUGAAGAAAACUAGAACUGGGUGAAAGGAUGGGUGCAAACAUAGCCACUGUAAGUUUCAUGGGCGAGUAAGGAUUUGAAUCCAGACUUCUUUUGCCUACAUGUGGCUUGCCAUAUAUAGCUCAACAAGGAACAUAAUUGGUGGCUGAUGUGGGGAACCUUAAUGAAAAACCAGUGGAUAUGAUGGGAAUCAUAAUUCUAAAAAGUAACAUUUUUUAUCAGUGGGUUUUGGAUAUGGGGGCAACCUUGCCCUAUGUUGUGGAGCAAACCACCCAUUCAUUUCACCAGAAAACCUCCAGCUCACCCUGCACCAGAGGUGCCUUAAACCUGCCAUAUGAGGUGGCCAGUGCAAAGUUUUUUAUUUUAUUUUAGGCCAGCCUCUGGACUUACAUGGUGAUCAGCCACAGGGAUUUCCUUCAAAUUGCCCCAAACUUUUGACAAGUGUCAGUGCAGAAAAAGCCUACAAGUGGCUGCAUUUUGAGUAAGCAGAUUGGCUACAAUUUUGAAGGGAGCACAUUGCCAUGUGUCUAGAAGAGAAGUACCAGGGUGCCACCCUAUCCAAAUAUUUUCAGCCAGCUGUGAAUGUUCCUUGGCUACAUGUAUGUCUCAUGGUCUCUGUUAGAAACAUUAAAUGUACAAUAGCUAUGCAUUCCCACAGCUUGAAUGCUUAUAUUAAAAAAGAAAAGAAAAAGAAGAGGAGGAAGACUGCCACACAACCAGUGUUGAUAACAGUGCUAUAGCUAUUGUAAAGUAUUAAAUGUGACCACAACAAAUGCUCUAGAAAUACACUCAUGUAUGUGUCAAUUUAUGUCUUGAAUAUACAGAAAACAUCUCAAUUAUUCUUGUUCCUUCUCUCUGGUUUUACUAAAACCUGAAGCAGUAGCCCUGCAGACAUACUUUCAUGAGCAGAGGUGAAUGUCAUGAGAACGAAACCAAUUUAAAACUGGUUUAAAUAUGUCAUGACUGGUAUCUUAAAACAGCAGUGGUUUCUGCAUACAACUGUGUUAAAUUAUUUAUGUUGUGUUUCAGGGCAAAUUUCACAGUAAGUUCAAGUUGUUUCUAGUGUUACCAAUACCAUUUAAUGUCUGAGGAAGACUGUGGCCUGCUUUUCCUACUCUGAUGUUUUAGCUGAGCACCCUGGCCUACUUCUGGUUUUUCAGAUCUUCUGAAGUACAAAAAUAUAAAGCAAGACUUCACAGUUCAGGCCACCUCAUCAACUCAAAAUGGAUAGCCCUCAAGCUGAAGACAAGACCAGGCAGCUGGCUUUUCUAAUGACACAUGUCUAGAAUUUAAAAAUUUUGUGUAAUUGUGGAAAAGAGUAGGUUUGGGUAUGAAUUUACCCAUUACAUUAGAAUAACUUUAUAAGAGGGACACCCUUCAAAAUAAUCAUGGACAGCAGUUCCCAUCUGCUCUAGCUAAGUAGUAGUAAGGGAUGAUGGGAACUGUAGUCAAGUGAUAUCCAGACAGCCGCAUAUCACCUGUUGCAUAGCUUUGGUUACAUAACUAUAAAACUGACAGCAGCAGAACAGGAAGGAAGGAGAGAGAAGGUUCAUUCAAAAUUAGGAUAAAGAGAUCUAGGUCAAUAAAUACCAGAGGGGACAACA
Molecule: long non-coding RNA, 2022 nt
Organism: Pogona vitticeps (central bearded dragon)
Lineage: Eukaryota; Metazoa; Chordata; Lepidosauria; Squamata; Agamidae
Source: Ensembl